RNAcentral lists this transfer RNA (81 nucleotides) under Streptomyces litmocidini. Its description in RNAcentral is "tRNA-Ser". RNAcentral also lists the same sequence under 1 other name. Lineage: Bacteria; Bacillati; Actinomycetota; Actinomycetes; Kitasatosporales; Streptomycetaceae. The record is from RNAcentral.
GGAUAGUUGGGCAUUGGUAAGCCAACCUACUUGCUACGUAGUUAGCCUAGAGCUUUCAGCGUUCGAAUCGCUGACUAUCCG